Molecule: ribosomal RNA, 955 nt
Filed under: uncultured archaeon
Lineage: Archaea
Description: bacterial SSU rRNA
Rfam family: Archaeal small subunit ribosomal RNA
Source: RNAcentral
CAGCUUUAAGCCAUGCGAGUCGAGAGGUGCAAGACCUCGGCGUACUGCUCAGUAACACGUGGACAAUCUGCCCUGGAGUGGAGGAUAAUCCCGGGAAACUGGGGGUAAUACUCCAUAGUUCGUUAUGACUGGAAUGUUUUUCGAACGAAAGAUCCGUCGCUCCAGGAUGAGUCUGCGGCCGAUUAGGUAGUUGUUGGGGUAAAGGCCCAACAAGCCUGUAAUCGGUACGGGUUGUGGGAGCAAGAGCCCGGAGAUGGAUUCUGAGACACGAAUCCAGGCCCUACGGGGCGCAGCAGGCGCGAAAACUUUACAAUGCGGGAAACCGUGAUAAGGAAACCCCGAGUGCCAGCACAGGCUGGCUGUCCGCCAGUGUAAAUAACUGGUGAAGAAAGGGCCGGGCAAGACCGGUGCCAGCCGCCGCGGUAAUACCGGCGGCUCGAGUGGUGGCCACUAUUACUGGGCUUAAAGGGUCCGUAGCUUGAUAUGCAAGUCUCUUGAGAAAUCCGCCGGCUUAACUGGCGGGCGUUCAGGGGAAACUGCAUUUCUAGGGACCGGGAGAGGUGAGAGGUACUGCCGGGGUAGGAGUGAAAUCCUGUAAUCCCGGUGGGACCACCUAUGGCGAAGGCAUCUCACCAGAACGGGUCCGACAGUGAGGGACGAAAGCUGGGGGAGCAAACCGGAUUAGAUACCCGGGUAGUCCCAGCUGUAAACGAUGCGCGUUAGGUGUGUCAGUGACCACGUGUCACUGAGGUGCCGAAGGGAAACCGUGAAACGCGCCGCCUGGGGAGUACGGUCGCAAGGCUGAAACUUAAAGGAAUUGGCGGGGGAGCACCACAACGGGUGGAGCCUGCGGUUUAAUCGGACUCAACGCCGGAAAUCUCACCGGAUAAGACAGCUGAAUGAUAGUCGGGCUGAAGACUCUACUUGACUAGCUGAGAGGUGGUGCAUGGCCAGC